CCCCUCUCAGGAUUUCAUCUGGAGAGUUUCCAGUACUCUACGAGUCUCGGCUACAGGAUGGAAAGUCAAGCAGAGGCAUACCCAUUCCAUUCCUACUUUGGGCACUGGUUAGUGAGUGGAAGCCAAUCUGCUACAGGU
Tachyglossus aculeatus (Australian echidna) is the source of this 138-nucleotide small nucleolar RNA. The record is from RefSeq and is a predicted model, not a curated record. NCBI's taxonomy places the organism in Eukaryota, Metazoa, Chordata, Mammalia, Monotremata, Tachyglossidae.